This 93-nucleotide ribosomal RNA is filed under the name Enterobacter cloacae. RNAcentral also lists the same sequence under 7 other names. Lineage: Bacteria; Pseudomonadati; Pseudomonadota; Gammaproteobacteria; Enterobacterales; Enterobacteriaceae. The record is from RNAcentral.
CCUGGCGGCUUUAGCGCGGUGGUCCCACCUGACCCCAUGCCGAACUCAGAAGUGAAACGCCGUAGCGCCGAUGGUAGUGUGGGGUCUCCCCAU